AGGGUAUUGAAUUUGAGGAGAAUGAGGUUGCGGCUGUGGAGGAAGAUUUUUCGCUAUGCCUUGUGGGGCGAUUUCUUACCGACAGUCCAAUACGUUUCCAGUUUAUGAAACAGACCAUGGCAUCAUUAUGGAGGCCUACCGAGGGGAUGAGUGCCAAGGAAAUUGCUGAAGGUCUGUUUUUGUUUAAGUUUUACCAUGCUGUUGAUCGUGAUAGAGUGCUGGAUAUGGGGCCCUGGACGUUUAAUAGCCAUUUACUCCUCAUUGAUAAAGUUGAUGGCUAUGACGAUCCUAGAGAUGUUCCUCUGCUUUUUAUGCGUAUUUGGGUACAGAUUCAUGGUUUGAAACCAGGGUUCAACUCAGAUCAUGUAGUGGAACGAUUGGGCAAUGCGAUGGGAGAAUGCUUGGAGCGUGAUGAAAACAAUUUCACCAAGGUCAAGAAUUUCUCUAGUUCCUGGAAAUCUUAUGCAAGAGUGCGGGUGAAGUUGGAUGUCAG
Molecule: unclassified non-coding RNA, 493 nt
Filed under: Hevea brasiliensis (rubber tree)
Lineage: Eukaryota; Viridiplantae; Streptophyta; Magnoliopsida; Malpighiales; Euphorbiaceae
Source: RNAcentral